RNAcentral lists this ribosomal RNA (724 nucleotides) under uncultured Peptoniphilus sp. Its description in RNAcentral is "bacterial SSU rRNA". It matches the Rfam family "Bacterial small subunit ribosomal RNA", at positions 52 to 791 of the family's 1533-position model. The record is from RNAcentral. Lineage: Bacteria; Bacillati; Bacillota; Tissierellia; Tissierellales; Peptoniphilaceae.
AGCGAUGAACAUUGAAUGAUCCCUUCGGGGUGAUUUCGAUCGGAUUAGCGGCGAACGGGUGAGUAACGCGUGAGGAACCUGCCUCUUACAACGGGAUAGCCUCGGGAAACCGGGAUUAAUACCGUAUAAGACUCCGACACCUCCUGGUGAUGAAGUCAAAGCGUUAGCGGUAAGAGAUGGCCUCGCGUCUGAUUAGCUUGUUGGCGGGGUAACGGCCCACCAAGGCGACGAUCAGUAACCGGCCCGAGAGGGUGAACGGUCACAUUGGAACUGAGACACGGUCCAAACUCCUACGGGAGGCAGCAGUGGGGAAUCUUGCACAAUGGGGGCAACCCUGAUGCAGCGACGCCGCGUGAGCGAUGAAGGUUUUCGAAUCGUAAAGCUCUGUCCUAUGGGAAGAUAAUGACGGUACCAUGGGAGGAAGCCCCGGCUAACUACGUGCCAGCAGCCGCGGUAAUACGUAGGGGGCGAGCGUUGUCCGGAAUUACUGGGCGUAAAGGGUUCGCAGGCGGCAUGGCAAGUCCGAUGUAAAAGGCGAAGGCUCAACCUUCGUAAGCAUCGGAAACUGUCAAGCUUGAGUGAAGGAGAGGCAAGUGGAAUUCCUAGUGUAGCGGUGGAAUGCGUAGAUAUUAGGAGGAAUACCGGUGGCGAAGGCGACUUGCUGGACUUCAACUGACGCUGAGGAACGAAAGCGUGGGUAGCAAACAGGAUUAGAUACCCUGGU